CUCCAACCCAUGUGACCAUACCAAACUGUUGCCUCGGCGGGGUCACGCCCCGGGUGCGUCGCAGCCCCGGAACCAGGCGCCCGCCGGAGGGACCAACCAAACUCUUUCUGUAGUCCCCUCGCGGACGUUAUUUCUUACAGCUCUGAGCAAAAAUUCAAAAUGAAUCAAAACUUUCAACAACGGAUCUCUUGGUUCUGGCAUCGAUGAAGAACGCAGCGAAAUGCGAUAAGUAAUGUGAAUUGCAGAAUUCAGUGAAUCAUCGAAUCUUUGAACGCACAUUGCGCCCGCCAGUAUUCUGGCGGGCAUGCCUGUCCGAGCGUCAUUUCAACCCUCGAACCCCUCCGGGGGUCCGGCGUUGGGGAUCGGGAACCCCUAAGACGGGAUCCCGGCCCCGAAAUACAGUGGCGGUCUCGCCGCAGCCUCUCAUGCGCAGUAGUUUGCACAACUCGCACCGGGAGCGCGGCGCGUCCACGUCCGUAAAACACCCAACUUCUGAAAUGUUGACCUCGGAUCAGGUAGGAAUACCCGCUGAACUUAAGCAUAUCAAUA
Molecule: ribosomal RNA, 549 nt
Filed under: Trichoderma sp. AH-Group-9
Lineage: Eukaryota; Fungi; Ascomycota; Sordariomycetes; Hypocreales; Hypocreaceae
Description: eukaryotic LSU rRNA
Rfam family: 5.8S ribosomal RNA (bases 169-322)
Source: RNAcentral